Molecule: ribosomal RNA, 781 nt
Filed under: uncultured Neocallimastigales
Lineage: Eukaryota; Fungi; Neocallimastigomycota; Neocallimastigomycetes; Neocallimastigales
Description: partial large subunit ribosomal RNA
Rfam family: Eukaryotic large subunit ribosomal RNA
Source: RNAcentral
UAUCUCUGUAGAGUCUGCAUAUCAAUAAGCGGAGGAAAAGAAACUAACAAGGAUUCCCCUAGUAACGGCGAGUGAAGCGGGAAGAGCUCAAAUUUGAAAUCUUCAAGGGUUUCCCUUGACGAAUUGUAGUUUAUAGAAGUGUUUUCUGUUAGAGAGGUGGUAAAAGUUCUUUGGAAUAGGACAUCAUAGAGGGUGAGAAUCCCGUAUUUGAUCACUUUCUACUGACGUUGUGAUACACUUUCAACGAGUCGGAUUGUUUGGGAAUGCAGUCCAAAAUGGGUGGUAAAUUUCAUCUAAAGCUAAAUAUUGGCGAGAGACCGAUAGCGAACAAGUACCGUGAGGGAAAGAUGAAAAGAACUUUGAAAAGAGAGUUAAACAGUACGUGAAAUUGUCAAAAGGGAAGCGUUUGACACCAGUGUUGUUUUUUCCGAAAAUCAAUUACGAAUGUUUUGUUUUUGAGAAGUUAUGACUUCAUCGGCUUGCUUCUUUCUUUACGAAACUUUCUUAAUGCACUUUUCGGUUAACAAGUCAACAUCAAUUUCUUUUGUUGUAAAAGGGUACGAUUGGAAGGUGGCUUUUCUUUUCGGAGAAAGUGUUAAUAGCCUUGUGCCUCUGCAAUCGGAGAGAUUGAGGUCUGCAGCGUAGAUCCUUCGGGGUUAGAUACAUUUGUGCUAAGUUAUAGCCUUUUCAUAGACAACUUGUUGACUAUGUAUCAGUCAUGUAGCUUACUCGCUUAUGCUAUUUUACCUACGCUUAGGAUGUUGAUGUGAUACUGCGAGCA